RNAcentral lists this ribosomal RNA (255 nucleotides) under uncultured bacterium. Its description in RNAcentral is "partial 16S ribosomal RNA". It matches the Rfam family "Bacterial small subunit ribosomal RNA", at positions 524 to 776 of the family's 1533-position model. The record is from RNAcentral.
UACGUAGGAGGCGAGCGUUGUCCGGAAUUACUGGGCGUAAAGAGCGCGUAGGUGGCGCGAUACGACCGGUGUGAAAUCCUCCGGCUCAACUGGAGGGGGUCACUGGUAACGGUCGUGCUUAUGAGUGCAGGAGAGGGACGUGGAACUCCGGGAGUAGCGGUGAAAUGCGUAGAGACCCGGAGGAACACCAGUGGCGAAGGCGGCGUCCUGGCCUGCGACUGACGCUGUGGCGCGAAAGCUAGGGGAGCGAACGGG